GUUAUAGGGUCAAGUGACUAAGAGCAUGUGGUGGAUGCCUUGGCGAUUACAGGCGACGAAAGACGUGAUAGCCUGCGAUAAGCUUCGGGGAGCUGGCAAAUAAGCUUUGAUCCGGAGAUUUCUGAAUGGGGAAACCCACCUCGCAAGAGGUAUCGCAUGAUGAAUACAUAGUCAUGCGAGGCGAACCGGGUGAACUGAAACAUCUCAGUAGCUCGAGGAAAAGACAUCAACCGAGAUUCCGAAAGUAGUGGCGAGCGAAAUCGGAAGAGCCUUCUAUUGAUAGCACGACUGUUAGCAAAACGGAAUGGAAAGUCCGGCCAUAGCAGGUGAUAGCCCUGUAUGCGAAAACAGACGUGUGGUACUAAGGUAGAGACAAGUAGGGCGGGACACGAGAAAUCCUGUCUGAAUAUGGGGGGACCAUCCUCCAAGGCUAAAUACUCGUAAUCGACCGAUAGUGAACCAGUACCGUGAGGGAAAGGCGAAAAGAACCCCGGGAGGGGAGUGAAAUAGAUCCUGAAACCGCAUGCUUACAAAAAGUAGGAGCCCGCAAGGGUGACUGCGUACCUUUUGUAUAAUGGGUCAGCGACUUACAUUCAGUGGCAAGGUUAACCGAAUAGGGAAGCCGUAGAGAAAUCGAGUCCGAAUAGGGCGAAUCAGUCGCUGGGUGUAGACCCGAAACCAAGUGAUCUAUCCAUGGCCAGGAUGAAGGUGCCGUAACAGGUACUGGAGGUCCGAACCGACUAGUGUUGCAAAACUAGCGGAUGAGCUGUGGAUAGGGGUGAAAGGCUAAACAAACUUGGAAAUAGCUGGUUCUCUCCGAAAACUAUUUAGGUAGUGCCUCAAGUAUUACCGUCGGGGGUAGAGCACUGUUUAGGCUAGGGGGUCAUGGCGACUUACCAAACCUAUGCAAACUCCGAAUACCGACGAGUACAGCUUGGGAGACAGAGCACCGGGUGCUAACGUCCGGACUCAAGAGGGAAACAACCCAGACCGCCAGCUAAGGUCCCUAAAAUUGGCUAAGUGGGAAACGAAGUGGGAAGGCUAAAACAGUCAGGAUGUUGGCUUAGAAGCAGCCAUCAUUUAAAGAAAGCGUAAUAGCUCACUGAUCGAGUCGUCCUGCGCGGAAGAUGUAACGGGGCUAAGCCAGUUACCGAAGCUGCGGAUGUGCAAUUUAUUGCACGUGGUAGGAGAGCGUUCUGUAGGCCUGUGAAGGUGUCUGGUAACGGAUGCUGGAGGUAUCAGAAGUGCGAAUGCUGACAUGAGUAGCGUUAAAGGGGGU
RNAcentral lists this ribosomal RNA (1279 nucleotides) under Acidovorax sp. Root219. RNAcentral describes it as "bacterial LSU rRNA". It matches the Rfam family "Bacterial large subunit ribosomal RNA", at positions 1 to 1322 of the family's 2925-position model. The record is from RNAcentral. Lineage: Bacteria; Pseudomonadati; Pseudomonadota; Betaproteobacteria; Burkholderiales; Comamonadaceae.